AGGACGAACGCUGGCGGCGUGCUUAACACAUGCAAGUCGAGCGGAAAGGCCCUUCGGGGUACUCGAGCGGCGAACGGGUGAGUAACACGUGAGCAACCUGCCCCUGGCCCUGGGAUAGCCUCCGGAAACGGGGAUUAAAUACCGGACAUUCACUUCCUUCCGCAUGGUUGGUGGUGGAAAGUUUUUUCGGCCGGGGAGGGGCUCGCGGCCUAUCAGCUUGUUGGCGGGGUAACGGCCCACCAAGGCGACGACGGGUAGCC
This 260-nucleotide ribosomal RNA is filed under the name uncultured bacterium. Its description in RNAcentral is "partial small subunit ribosomal RNA". It matches the Rfam family "Bacterial small subunit ribosomal RNA", at positions 26 to 288 of the family's 1533-position model. The record is from RNAcentral.